RNAcentral lists this ribosomal RNA (100 nucleotides) under uncultured bacterium. RNAcentral's name for it is "partial 16S ribosomal RNA". The record is from RNAcentral.
ACGGCUCGUAAAGCUCUGUUGUUGGAGAAGAACGUGCGUGAGAGUAACUGUUCACGCAGUGACGGUAUCCAACCAAGAAAGUCACGGCUAACUACGUGCC